RNAcentral lists this ribosomal RNA (245 nucleotides) under uncultured bacterium. Its description in RNAcentral is "partial 16S ribosomal RNA". It matches the Rfam family "Bacterial small subunit ribosomal RNA", at positions 524 to 768 of the family's 1533-position model. The record is from RNAcentral.
GACGGAGGUCCCUAGCGUUGUUCGGAAUUAUUGGGCUUAAAGCGCGUGUAGGCGGAGCGGUAAGUACCUUGUGAAAUCCCCGGUCUCAACCCGGGAACUGCUUGGUAUACUGCCGUUCUCGAGGCAGGUAGGGGUCACUGGAACCUUAGGUGGAGCGGUGAAAUGCGUAGAUAUCUAAGGGAACGCCUGUGGCGAAAGCGGGUGACUGGGCCUGUCCUGACGCUGAGACGCGAAAGCGUAGGGAG